Molecule: ribosomal RNA, 390 nt
Filed under: Triticum aestivum (bread wheat)
Lineage: Eukaryota; Viridiplantae; Streptophyta; Magnoliopsida; Poales; Poaceae
Description: partial small subunit ribosomal RNA
Source: RNAcentral
AUGAAUGCCAACAGGAUCAAUCAAGGCAAUCAAUGUUGGCAAAAGAGCAUGCACCUGCGGAGCAGUUCGUCGGUGUUGUCGUCGGCGUAUGCGCAGUGCGGUGAUGGGGCAGACUUUGUCGGCGCUGUUGUGGUCGUAUGCGCAGUGCGGCGAUGGGACAGACUGGGCGGUGGCGUCUUAAUGCCUCGUGAAGUCUGGGCGGAGGCGGCGUCUAAAAGCCUCACAAAUCGUGUUGGCGAAGAGAAGAGCCUGCAACUAUGCUGGCGAAGAGCUCGUUGUUGUGGCCGUGGCGGCCAUCGUCGGGUGCCUCGCCGUCUGCGCAGGCUAGCGAUGGCGCAUACCAAGCUGGACGCCUGGACGGCAACGCUGAACGGCGUGGGGGCAAAUUGA